UGAGGAAUAUUGGUCAAUGGACGCAAGUCUGAACCAGCCAAGUAGCGUGCAGGAUGACGGCCCUAUGGGUUGUAAACUGCUUUUAUAUGGGGAUAAAGUGGGGAACGUGUUCCCUUUUGCAGGUACCAUAUGAAUAAGGACCGGCUAAUUCCGUGCCAGCAGCCGCGGUAAUACGGAAGGUUCGGGCGUUAUCCGGAUUUAUUGGGUUUAAAGGGAGCGUAGGCCGUUUGGUAAGCGUGUUGUGAAAUGUAGGAGCUCAACUUCUAGAUUGCAGCGCGAACUGUCAGACUGGAGUGCGCACAACGUAGGCGGAAUUCAUGGUGUAGCGGUGAAAUGCUUAGAGAUCAUGAAGAACUCCGAUUGCGAAGGCAGCUUACGGGAGCGCAACUGACGCUGAAGCUCGAAGGUGCGGGUAUCGAACAGG
This 424-nucleotide ribosomal RNA is filed under the name Verrucomicrobiota bacterium. Its description in RNAcentral is "Verrucomicrobia bacterium partial 16S ribosomal RNA". It matches the Rfam family "Bacterial small subunit ribosomal RNA", at positions 355 to 776 of the family's 1533-position model. Lineage: Bacteria; Pseudomonadati; Verrucomicrobiota. The record is from RNAcentral.